RNAcentral lists this ribosomal RNA (304 nucleotides) under Gephyromantis luteus. Its description in RNAcentral is "partial 16S ribosomal RNA". It matches the Rfam family "Bacterial large subunit ribosomal RNA", at positions 2009 to 2481 of the family's 2925-position model. Lineage: Eukaryota; Metazoa; Chordata; Amphibia; Anura; Mantellidae. The record is from RNAcentral.
GGUUAUACUGUCUCCUUUCUCUAAUCAGUGAAAUUAAUCUCCCCGUGAAGAAGCGGGGAUAAAACUAUAAGACGAGAAGACCCCAUGGAGCUUUAAACCUAGCUACACCCCGAACCUUUAUACCCAUCUAUUAUCUGAACCCUGCAAGCUAGGCUUUAGGUUGGGGUGACCGCGGAGUAAAACAAAACCUCCGCAAUGAACGAAACUACCAUCUUAUCUAAGAAUAACCCCUCUAAGAAUUAGUACUCUAACAUAAAUGAUCCAAUUAUUGAUCAACGGACCAAGUUACCCUGGGGAUAACAGC